RNAcentral lists this ribosomal RNA (232 nucleotides) under uncultured bacterium. RNAcentral's name for it is "partial 16S ribosomal RNA". It matches the Rfam family "Bacterial small subunit ribosomal RNA", at positions 118 to 351 of the family's 1533-position model. The record is from RNAcentral.
UGAGUAACCUGCCCUUAACUCUGGGAUAAGCCUGGGAAACUGGGUCUAAUACCGGAUACGAACCACUCAAGCAUCUGAGAGGUUGGAAAGAUUUAUCGGUCAGGGAUGGACUCGCGGCCUAUCAGCUUGUUGGUGGGGUAACGGCCCACCAAGGCGACGACGGGUAGCCGGCCUGAGAGGGCGACCGGCCACACUGGGACUGAGACACGGCCCAGACUCCUACGGGAGGCAG